AAACAUUCUAAGAUUGAUCCAAUUAUUCCAGGUCUCAAGCAGUAGCCACCUCCAGUCUGAUACAAAGGAUUACUCCCUCCCCAGUGCCAGCUGGAGCCCCAUCAUGGUGAGGCUCUACAAUGAGUUCAUGGAGAAGACUGUGGAUGGGUCAUGGACAAGACUUCCAGGUUGUUGGUGCUCUGUGCAAUUCCUUAAAGAAGCAGACCUUACUAAGAUUGCUAAAGCUGUCCCUGCCAUCUUCUUACAAAUGAAGUGACGCAGAUGCAAGGUGCUGCAAGGCCCACCUCCUCCUGCUCUGACAGGCAGACAGGAAACCAAAGCCCC
This 324-nucleotide long non-coding RNA is filed under the name Homo sapiens (human). Its description in RNAcentral is "HSALNT0311314". Lineage: Eukaryota; Metazoa; Chordata; Mammalia; Primates; Hominidae. The record is from RNAcentral.